RNAcentral lists this long non-coding RNA (327 nucleotides) under Brassica napus (rape). Its description in RNAcentral is "long non-coding RNA (BNAP_LNC018419)". The record is from RNAcentral. Lineage: Eukaryota; Viridiplantae; Streptophyta; Magnoliopsida; Brassicales; Brassicaceae.
GUGUGUGGUUUAAUGAGACCAAACACACUACAUGCUCUAUACUGAAAACAGCAAUCAUAGCAUGCCAAGACCCUAACCGAGAAUAGAGAAAACCCAAGAACCCAAAUCCAUACCCAAAUUUAAGAUCCUGGCAGUUAAAAGAUAAACAGGAGCCACAACCAUACCCCAUAAAUGUUUCUCUUAACAAAAUGAAGACAGAACAAUACCAGUAACCAAAGGAAGAUGUUACCAGACACUGCCGAGGAUCCCUUAUUGAUGACAGAACCAAAACAUGCCAAAACUCCAAGUAAGAAUGACCCAGCCAACUGACACCAACAAUAUGAAGUG